GACGAACGCUGGCGGCGUGCUUAACACAUGCAAGUCGAGCGGUAAGGCCCUUUCGGGGGUACACGAGCGGCGAACGGGUGAGUAACACGUGGGUGACCUGCCCUCAGCUCUGGGAUAAGCCCGGGAAACCGGGUCUAAUACCGGAUAUGACUCCAUGACGCAUGUUGUGGGGUGGAAAGCCUUGUGCGGCUGAGGAUGGGCCCGCGGCCUAUCAGCUUGUUGGUGGGGUGANGGCCUACCAAGGCGACGACGGGUAGCCGGCCUGAGAGGGCGACCGGCCACACUGGGACUGAGAC
This 296-nucleotide ribosomal RNA is filed under the name uncultured bacterium. RNAcentral's name for it is "partial 16S ribosomal RNA". It matches the Rfam family "Bacterial small subunit ribosomal RNA", at positions 28 to 325 of the family's 1533-position model. The record is from RNAcentral.